AUGAACGGGCCCUCGCACCCGGGCUCACCACCACCGGGAGGCUUUUGUAAAACAGCGAACGGCGAGAAAUAUGCUUUUAAUGCGGUAAAUAUAAGAGGAAUAUGUCAAAGUCAUUUAUAUGUGCCAAUCUUCCUGCUGCCAGCUGGUGGCGCUAUGACUAUAACUGAAUAUGGGCAUAUCAAUCUGUUCAGGUCAGGAGUCUUAUCAAACAUGUACAGUUUGGGGCAGAUUGGACAUUGUAUGUCUGAGUUACAGCAACUUCAUUUUUCAUGACGAAUCAUCGAAAUUCGUCAGGCCGCCACGGACACGCCCUUCAACGAAAACACAAGAUCUUCGCAAUUUAACAUCACAAAGACCUUUAGAUUAGGCAUACCAAAUUUGGUGUUGAUCUGAAUAAAUCUCUAGGAGGAGUUCGUUAAAAUACAAGGCAUGCAAAUGACAAAAAAAUGAUGCAAAAUUUGCUCAUAAAAUUAAAAAUAACCGACUUCCUGUUGGGUUUCGGAUAUUGCUCCAAGAGUCUUUUUUGUAGGUACUGAUGCUUUACAUAUGUGUGCCAAUUUGCGCGCAUGUACGUGAAACACAGCUCGAGGGCUGUUGAUUUUUUUGGGAUAGGUGGCGCUGUCGAGCCAUUUUGCCACACCCUCUUCUGAAACCUAUAUCAGACGUAAAUUUUCACCAGGUCUGACGCGUGUGCAAAGUUUCAGGACUUUUUCGAGCAUGUUUAGGCCCUCAAAAAUGCGAUUCAUUUUGGAGAAGAAGAAGAAGAAGAAGAAGAAGAAUAAUAAUAAUAAUAAUAAUAAACAAAGCAGAUACAAGAGGGUCCUCACACCAUCGGUGCUCGGGCCCUAAUAAACACAGCAAUUCCAAGAGGGUCCUCGCACCAUCGGUGCUCGGGCCCUAAUUAAAGCUGCAAGCAGCGAUGAACGGGCCCUCGCACCCGGGCUCACCACCACCGGGUGGCUUUUGUAAAACAGCGAACGGCGAGAAAUAUGCGUUUAAUGUGGUAUAUAUAAGAGGAAUAUGCCAAAGUCAUUUAUAUGUGCCAAUCUUCCUGCUGCCAGCUGGUGGCGCUAUGACUAUAACUGGAUUUUGUCAUAUAGAUUUCUUCAGUCCAGCACUUUUAUCAAGCAUAUGAAAUUUAGGGCAGAUUGAACAUGGAAUGUUUGAGUUAGUAUAAAGUAUGUUGUGUCGUAUUGCCAACAGGUGGCGCUAUGAUUAUAACUGAACAUUGGCCUUUAGAUAUCUUCAGGCCAUGACUCUUAUCAAAUAUUUGAAGUUUGGUGCAGAUUGGACAUUGCAUGUUUAAGUUAGUGUAAAAUAAGCCAUUUUCUGUUGUCAGCAGGUGGCGCUAUGAUUAUAGUGGAAUAAUGACCUUCAGAUGUGUUCAGGCCAAGACUCUUUUCGAACAUGUGAAGUUUGGGGAAGAUCGGACAUCUUAUGCCUGAGUUACAACAACUUCUAUUCCCAUGGCAAGAUAUCGAACUUUGUCACGGCGCCAUGGCCACACCCUUUAAUGAAACCUCAAGAUGUUCACAAUUUAACAUCGCAAAGGCCUUUAGAUUAGACUGACCAAAAAAAAUUAUAAAAUGUCAUAAAAUUUCUAUGAGUAGUUUGUUACGGCGUAAAACAUGUCACUUCCUGUUGCCAGCAGGUGGCGCUAUAGCGAUAUCUGAAUAUUGGCAUGUAGAUAUAUUCAGGUCAGGAGUCUUCUCAAACAUGUGAAGUUUGGGGCAGAUUGGACAUUGCAUGUUUAAGUUAGUGUAAAAUAAGCCAUUUUCUGUUGUCAGCAGGUGGCGCUAUGAUUAUAGUGGAAUAAUGACCUUCAGAUGUGUUCAGGCCAAGACUCUUUUCGAACAUGUGAAGUUUGGGGAAGAUCGGACAUCUUAUGCCUGAGUUCCAACAACUUCUAUUCCCAUGGCGAGACAUUGAACUUUGUCACGGCGCCAUGGCCACACCCUUCAAUGAAACCUCAAGAUGUUCACAAUUUAACAUCGCAAAGGCCUUUAGAUUAGACUGACCAAAAAAAAUUAUAACAUGUCAUAAAAUAUCUAGGAGUAGUUUGUUACGGCGUAAAACAUGUCACUUCCUGUUGCCAGCAGGUGGCGCUAUAGCGAUAUCUGAAUAUUGGCAUGUAGAUAUAUUCAGGUCAGGAGUCUUCUCAAACAUGUGAAGUUUGGGGCAGAUUGGACAUUGUAUGUCUGAGUUAUAGCAACUUCCUUUCUCAUAGCGAAACAUCGAAAUUUGUAAGGCCGCCACAGACACGCCCUUAAACGAAACCUCAAGAUCUUCGCAAUUUAACAUCGCAAAGGCCUUUAGAUUACACUGACAAAGUUUGGUGUUGAUCUGAAUAAAUCUCUAGGAGGAGUUCGUUAAAGUACAACCC
This is a long non-coding RNA of Cyprinus carpio carpio, 2383 nucleotides long. The record is from Ensembl. Lineage: Eukaryota; Metazoa; Chordata; Actinopteri; Cypriniformes; Cyprinidae.